AGGGCCACGGGAUCGACACCGCGGGUGACCACGAGGUAGUCGCGCAUCGCGAGUCCGUGGCGGUUCUC
Williamsia sp. Leaf354 is the source of this 68-nucleotide small RNA. It matches the Rfam family "ASdes TB sRNA". NCBI's taxonomy places the organism in Bacteria, Bacillati, Actinomycetota, Actinomycetes, Mycobacteriales, Nocardiaceae. The record is from Rfam.